Molecule: ribosomal RNA, 495 nt
Filed under: uncultured bacterium
Lineage: Bacteria
Description: partial 16S ribosomal RNA
Rfam family: Bacterial small subunit ribosomal RNA
Source: RNAcentral
GAUGAACGCUGGCGGCGUGCCUAAUACAUGCAAGUAGAACGCUGAAGGAGGAGCUUGCUCUUCUGGAUGAGUUGCGAACGGGUGAGUAACGCGUAGGUAACCUGCCUGGUAGCGGGGGAUAACUAUUGGAAACGAUAGCUAAUACCGCAUGACAACAGUUAUUGCAUGAUAACUGUUUAAAAGGGGCAACUGCUCCACUACCAGAUGGACCUGCGUUGUAUUAGCUAGUUGGUGAGGUAACGGCUCGCCAAGGCGACGAUACAUAGCCGACCUGAGAGGGUGAUCGGCCACACUGGGACUGAGACACGGCCCAGACUCCUACGGGAGGCAGCAGUAGGGAAUCUUCGGCAAUGGACGGAAGUCUGACCGAGCAACGCCGCGUGAGUGAAGAAGGUUUUCGGAUCGUAAAGCUCUGUUGUAAGAGAAGAACGAGUGUGAGAGUGGAAAGUUCACACUGUGACGGUAUCUGACCAGAAAGGGACGGCUAACUACGUG